GUCUUUCAGGAUGAAUGCCAUCCACACAAAAGAGCUCCUGUUGACAUCUCAUUUACAAUCUCCCCCAGGACACAGACAAGACCCUUUCAAUAAAUCCAGCUCAGAAACACCUAUUGUUCAAAAUCUUCAACUCGCCACAGGCUACCACCACUCCCUAUGGCUUUGCAAAAUUAAAGAUUUAGAAGAAGGAUGGGGCGGUGGAAGCUAUGAAAAGAGGCAGGAAAAAAGUUCCUUUGACCCGAUGCUGUCAGAGAGCGUGCAUGAAGAAGAAAGUUAAUGGUAUUUCCAUUUAUAUAAGAAGCGCCUAAGAAAUGCCUGUGACGUUCGUGAACUAGUGAUUGUGAAUUCCAAAUUUGAUGCCAACUUUAUGUGUAAAGAAGCUAACUCCUGCCAACAUCGUGGCUGAAUGAACAGCUGGGACUAUGCUUAACCCAUUCCCAGCUUAUAAAAGCCCCAUGGCAGCUGCAGUGAAGCAUCAGGUGAGUCUGAUAUGGGCUGUCUGUUCCCUCGGGGAUUUGAAUCUUGCCUGUCCUUUCCAAGUGGAGUCUUGUGCCUAAGUGCUAGAGCCCACUCCUUCCUCCCCACUGAUUCCCUUCUUUCCAUUUCUGCCAUUUCCCUUCUUCUUUUAAUAAAACUUGGACAUUUUCUGGA
RNAcentral lists this long non-coding RNA (651 nucleotides) under Homo sapiens (human). RNAcentral's name for it is "HSALNT0392571". Lineage: Eukaryota; Metazoa; Chordata; Mammalia; Primates; Hominidae. The record is from RNAcentral.